AGUGAACGCUGGCGGUAGGCCUAACACAUGCAAGUCAAACGGCAGCACAGGAGAGCUUGCUCUCUGGGUGGCGAGUGGCGGACGGGUGAGGAAUACAUCGGAAUCUACUCUGUCGUGGGGGAUAACGUAGGGAAACUUACGCUAAUACCGCAUACGACCUACGGGUGAAAGCAGGGGACCUUCGGGCCUUGCGCGAUUGAAUGAGCCGAUGUCGGAUUAGCUAGUUGGCGGGGUAAAGGCCCACCAAGGCGACGAUCCGUAGCUGGUCUGAGAGGAUGAUCAGCCACACUGGGACUGAGACACGGUCCAGACGCCUACGGGAGGCGGCAGUGGGGAAUAUUGGACAAUGGGCGCAAGCCUGACCCAGCCAUACCGCGUGGGUGAAGAAGGCCUUCGGGUUGUAAAGCCCUUUUGUUGGGAAAGAAAUCCAGCUGGCUAAUACCCGGUUGGGAUGACGGUACCCAAAGAAUAAGCACCGGCUAACUUCGUGCCAGCCGCCGCCGUAA
RNAcentral lists this ribosomal RNA (506 nucleotides) under uncultured bacterium. RNAcentral's name for it is "partial 16S ribosomal RNA". It matches the Rfam family "Bacterial small subunit ribosomal RNA", at positions 29 to 523 of the family's 1533-position model. The record is from RNAcentral.